GGACAAUGUAUCAUCGCCUGUUCGGAAGUAUUCUAGAGGAAACAGGUAGUAUUUCCUUCCCCAAGCACCAAAGUGGGGUUUCCGACACCGGUGAAUAUGCUGGAUGCCUCAGGGCGGAGCCCGACCUGGGGCCGGGGGGCGGGCCGUGCGAGCGGCGCGCGCAAUAAAGCGGAAGGUGCAGCAACUCGCACACGCGGUGGAGAAAGUGAGGGUUGGGUGUGUCUUCAAGCUGAGGGCCCACCCGCCUUGGUAAGAACCCUUGCUCCCAGUCCCUGACCCACCCAGGUCUAAAAUAUCUCACCCUCACUUGGGGUGACUUCACAUCAGAUAUCUCUGGGACCUAAUUUUAUAUGCCAGCAAUCAUGCAAAUCCCAGCUCUGUUCUUGGGCUUAGGGAUGUUAGUCAAGUGAUUGGUCUCCUGAGCCUCAGUUUCUGUGUCUGUAGAGUGGGCACAACGCAUCAAAGGUAAGGGUUGAAUGUGACGGAAUACAUGGGCUGUAGAAGAGGAAAAUAUUUAGUUGCUUUUUGGUGUCCGUGGGGGAGU
RNAcentral lists this long non-coding RNA (544 nucleotides) under Delphinapterus leucas (beluga whale). Its description in RNAcentral is "lncRNA (ENSDLEG00000001193.1)". Lineage: Eukaryota; Metazoa; Chordata; Mammalia; Artiodactyla; Monodontidae. The record is from RNAcentral.